UAGCCAUGGUGUGGGCAAGUGUGAAGUAAUUCCUUGAACCGUUCCCAAUACUCAAAAAAAUGUUUCAUCUCAUUUUUGGGAGAAGUUCAUUAUGUCUCGUCUGAGAGU
Molecule: small nucleolar RNA, 108 nt
Organism: Magnolia sinica
Lineage: Eukaryota; Viridiplantae; Streptophyta; Magnoliopsida; Magnoliales; Magnoliaceae
Source: RefSeq, a predicted model, not a curated record